Molecule: long non-coding RNA, 1659 nt
Organism: Alosa alosa (allis shad)
Lineage: Eukaryota; Metazoa; Chordata; Actinopteri; Clupeiformes; Clupeidae
Exons: 2
Source: RefSeq, a predicted model, not a curated record
CGACCAGCUACAGCCUGCAACAGGGAGGACAGCUGACAUUUUGUUACAUAAGGUUCCACCGUGUACGUGGUUUGGUGACAAACCUGGGUGAAAGUGAACUCAGAGUGAGUGAUUAAGUGACUGCACCAGAGAGGAGAUGACAUUUAGUGAAGCUUUAGACCAUGUGAAUGGGGUUUCCAUGUACACGGUUUAGUGACGGACCUGGGUAAGUUUACUCAGAGUAGGUGAUAUGUGACUCUGGUCCACAUCAUCAUCCUCUGUCUGCUUAUCUUGUAUUGUAGGUUAUGGUAGGCCUAGUACUUAUUGUUAUUCUAAGGUCUCAUACUCACUGUAACUUGUAGGUUACGGUAGGCCUAUUCCUUAUUGUUAAUAUUGUUGAUAUUUUAAGAUAAUAUUAUAUCAUGAUCAUAUAUUAUAUAUGAUAUUAUGAUAUCGUGAUAUUCACAACAGGUGUAAUACAGAAAUACAUAAUCCAGAACAAAAAAGAAACAAGAACUGAAAAACAGUUCACAAUAGAAUAAUAUCCUAACGCUAAAGGAACUAUGAUGAGGUAAAAGCUUUUUAUACCGAUCUAUAUAGAUAACACCCAAAAAAGCCCCAUAAUUUUGUGUAUGGAACCUGGCACCCCAUCAUCAGGCGCCCUCUACUGGUGAAUAUGUUUCAUUGCACUACCUGUUUACUGUACCUAAACUGCACAAGACUCCAGUGUGAAUGUUAUUCCUCAUUGAUAAGUUGCUUUGGAUAGUAGCCUCAGCUAAAUUAAAGAUUGUAGAAUGUAAAACGUAACUGUAAACAAAUGAAACGAAACAAAAGAACAAAAGCAAUGCUGAAUAACCUCUGGCCCCCUUCACUCCUUUUUCCACAUACCCUCUCCCUCUGAAACAACGAGAGAAUGCUACGACUAUGGACAAAGGAAGGACACACAUUUGUGAGACGUGAGAUGCAGACAAGGGGAGGAACGACACUCACCGGAGGCGGCGGGGUCGAUGCAGAUGGUGCCCCCGGGGCUGGUGCGCGACUUGUCCAGCGAGUGACCACAGGUGCCCAGGUGUGCUCUUACCUGCAAUGCUGACGUAGGCGACGACCCCCUCUGUGCCGCCCUCUUGAGGGAGCAGACUGCGCCCCCUGAGCCCCUGCGCUGCUGCGUGGAGAACCCUGUGCGACUGCACCCCAUCCUGCCCCUCCCCGAAAUGAAGCCAGAGGAGGAAAAGUGCCCCUGAGCUCAACCUGAGAGAGAGAGAGAGAGAGAGAGAGAGAGAGAGAGAGAGAGAGAGAGAGAGAGAGAGAGAGAGAGAGAGAGAGAGAGACUACCAAUGCCUGCAAAAAUAUGGAUGGUAUGACAUCAUGCUAAAAGCUCUGAUAAAGCAAAGCCAGGUUGGCCGUACUGCCAAAUCAAAUUGGAGCCUGCGUAUGAACAGAAAGUAUACCGUACACUUUUGGAGCAAGACAUAAGGAGAAAACAGAAAACCGACUAGCUCUGGUUAAACCCUGUACACCAUGGUGUCUCAGACAACCCCCCCCCUUCCUUCAUUGUCACUGGUGUAUGGUAUCUAGUAUGGUAUCUGGUAUAAGUGGCGUGUGGGGAAAUUUCCUGUAAUUAGACUACACUUUAGCUUUUAAAUGUCUACUCGGGUUGUUGUUGUCCAACAGGCUACACUU